UCCAGGUUUUACAAUAAAAUGAGUUUCUCGAUAGCUGUAAAUAUCGAUACUUAUUAUAUUGUCUAUAUCGAUGUUUAUUAGCUACGGAUUUAGGAAUUACUCAUCACUAGUAGAAUAGAUAUUAUGUACUUGUACUGACUUGUCUUGUCUGACUUGGUGACUUGUCUUUUCCUGUGUUGAAGCGUGUUGUCUAUUGUCAUUUUUGUCAACGGUUUAUCAUAUUAUUUUGAUUUUCUUGUGUAUCUUGAAGUUAUGCUAUGUCAAUGGCAAAGCGUAAGUAUAAUAAGUUUAGGUAGAGUCAAAACUCAAUGGUCAUAAUAUCAUGAAUUCAACGAAUUCUUGGACAAUGGAGAACAUUUGCAAAAGGAAAAUGACCUGCAGCGGCUUCCUGUUGUUGAUUUGGGAGGUUGGGUGAAAGUCUUAAAGAUACUUUGUAUUAGUUUAAAAUGACUCCAUGGGCGUGUUCAGCUACUCGAUAGGAAACGGAUAUGCUCAUCAACGUUCUGGAGGAGCAUAAAGCCUUGCGCUUGCCUAGCCUUCGCGGGCGGUUGAGGAGCGUACACCGCAAGCUCCAAGCGAAGCGACUUUGGGAGGAACUGUGCGACCUGUGAUCUCCUAAAUGCCAUGGGCGGUUACACAAAAAGUCAAGUGUCACGCAGUGGCAAAAAGUAUGGUUUGUCAGAAAGCAUCUUGCUACAAAAGCCACUGCUGACACCCAGAGGCCGGCUAGUCAUUGACCGGAAGUGGCUACCGAGUACAUCCCCACUCUCCCCUUGGCAGUUAAAAGUUUUAAACAUAAUGGGAGAUGGGUUUGGGCUCCGUCAGAUGGAGGCCAGAGUUCCGCCUUUCCCUCCUCGCAUCGCAUUCUUCACGUCGUCGUCCUAGGAGAAUGCGGUUUGCUACUUACUGGCUCUGACGUCAAACGUAGACUGUCUGAGUAGGUACGAGGACAGGCGUGAAGAAAGGGAAACCAUAAGACAUAGGUCUUCCUGAGAUGUUGGACAACAUUUCCGCACUUGUCUAUCUAACUGAUCCCACAAGAGCUCGAUAGGAUUGAGAUCUGGAGACUGCGGAGGCCAUGUGAAGAGUUUCAAGACAUUUUGUUGUUCCUGUCCUUCUAAAAACUCUGCACAGAGUUUCGACGUGUGUUUAGGAUCAUUAUCCUGCUGAAAUACAAAUCCUGGACCAAUUAAACGGAUUCCUGAAGGUACAGCACUAUUUUCUAGUAUGCUUUUGUAACCUUCUUUUUUUAAGAUUCCCUGUAUCCGCACAAGAUCCCCAACGGCAGAGCCACGAAAACAGCCCCAGCCAUCACAGACCCUCCGCCGUGUUUAACUGAAGCCACAAGCGUCGAUCACCCUUUCAUUAGACUGCUGGCAUACGAAAACUCUUCGCUUGGAACCAAAAAUAUCGAAUUUCGAUUCAUCCGUCCAGAGAACCUUCUCCCAAGCUGCUGCUGUCCAAUUCUUGUGUUCUCUAGCCCAAUGAAGUCUUUUCUUUUUAUUAUAGUCCAGUCAAUUUAGUAUUUCACCUCGGAAUUCGAGAGACCCAGCUGUAAUUUUGUAUAUACUUGUAUAUUGACCCCCUAAAACUUGUCUCAAAACCUACAUAUGGUAGGGUGUAAGCAACUAUUAAAUUUUAAGGUCCAAAGGUCCCAAAAAACUUUUUUUUGCGCUUUUUUGGAAAUAUCUCAUUUCCUAUGGGUUUUAAUACCAAUAUUGUAGAAUACAAAAUUCUCUACAACUUUUGUGUAACUUUUUUUUGUACGGUGUUUUCGUUUUCGAGAUAGAGAACGGAAAGCGCGCGGUCACUGCAUCUCUUCAAAAAAAUUUUUUUUCGUCUAACAUAUCCGUGAUGGUUGUCUAUGGAUAGGACAUAAAAAAUACGUCAUGGGUCCUAAAACCAUUUAUCGUCAAAAUCAAUCGUUUGAAAGAUAGACGCUUCCAAAGUGGAAAAUCAAGUGUGUUUUUUAAAAAUGUCCGUGUCGCUUGCGCCGCACGGAAAAUCACGGUGAUGGCGGCCAGUGUCUGUCAGGCUGUAACUACAUUGGUGACGCCCCAAAAUAAUAUCGACAUCAAGAAUAUUUUCUUUUUAAUUUCGUAAUUUUCUACAGAUUCUAUUCAAUUGUUGCCCAUUACACAAAUGUCAAUUUUUAAAAAAGCCAUUAAAGUUUUAAUUUAUAGUCUGGAAAUGGUUUAACAAGAUAAUUAUUAAUUUAAAACCGUUGCUUUUUUAUUAUUUCGAUUCUAUUAGCGCAUCACUAGCCCACUUAAAAUUCCGGGUUCGGUGCAGUGUGACAGGGUUGUAAAAGCACCUCAUUUGAUUAAGUACCGCAUUUAGAUUUCAUUUUUAUGUAUCAAAAUGAUGAGCCUGAGUUUUAAAAGUUUUAUUGUUGUAAACUAUACAUCCUGAAAUAUUAUAAAUAUCAAUUUUCAUCAGUUCUAUUUCUAUAUAUUUAAAAAUUGGACAUCGAAAAGAUAGAACGGAAUAUUACGGGCUUAGCGCCACGGGCAUCAGCACCUAAACUCGGAAUAUUACGGUGACGGCAGGAAAAGGGUUUAAUAAAUGCUUUUACUUUGACUUUUUGUUUUUAGCCAUUCUAUUAUAUUCGCUACUAGCGACCCGCCCCAGCUUCGCACGUAUGCAAUUGUGAUAAAUUAUGCGUGUAUUAUAUUUGUAUUAAUUGAUAUACAAAGUAUAUUUAUUUUAUUUUAUUCCUCUUUAAUCACACUACCUAUUUAAAAAAAACACAUCAAAAUCUGUCGCUUAGUUUUAAACAUAUACAUACAUACUGCAUAGUUGUAGUGAUAUGCACAUAAAACUGAAAGAUGAUUCAGGGUAAAGUAAAAAAAGAGAAUGGUAUUAUUAUAUUCUACCAUCAAAAACAUUCUGUAAUAAAUCCAAGUCUCGCACCUCAUCUGUUUUUCUACCGUAAAAAGUUUUGAGAUAUAUGUAAUAGGUACCAAGUCGGUUAUUUUAUUUAGUCCCUACUUAAGGGACCUUCUGUCUUAAGUUAUUUUGUAAAUUGUUAUAAUAUCAAAAUAAUAUUUAUUUUAUGUUUUAAAUAAAAUAGAUAGUCUUUGUCAUCGCACGUAAUCAUGCAAUAUACCAUCAUAAUUCGUAAUCAUGCAAUACAAGUACUUGUGUUUUCAUGCGAUGGCCAAGUCAAUCUAUGUUACUAUUAUGUUAACAACAACAGUUGUUAUAACAACAUUGACAACAAUUGUUGUUGUUACAACAACAAUAAAUUAUAGUCAAUACUGUGACUGUCAUACUUUUGAAGAAAUCUCUUUAAUAUUUAUAGAAAUAUAUUCCUGGCUUUCCCAAUAAAUAUAUUAGUCUCUACCUACUAAGAAUUCGGAUAUUUUAAUAUUAGGUAUCUAUCACUGGAAGAUGUUUAAUAGUUGUACUCUGCUGUUCAUUCAUGUGUGUAUUAUAAUGU
Molecule: long non-coding RNA, 3442 nt
Organism: Spodoptera frugiperda (fall armyworm)
Lineage: Eukaryota; Metazoa; Arthropoda; Insecta; Lepidoptera; Noctuidae
Exons: 6
Source: RefSeq, a predicted model, not a curated record